Caretta caretta (loggerhead turtle) is the source of this 701-nucleotide non-coding RNA. The record is from RefSeq and is a predicted model, not a curated record. NCBI's taxonomy places the organism in Eukaryota, Metazoa, Chordata, Testudines, Cheloniidae.
AGGCUCCUGAAGAUAACCCUGGGUCAAGUGGAAAAGGACAUGUUUGAUAUAUUUUCUGUUAUUCUGAAGUCCUUGAAGAAAAGGGACUGGAAUCCUGUGGCUGGAGUGCUCUUUGGUGCAUAGGCUGGUAAAUUAGCCUGCUGCUUAUAUACUAUUUUUGUAAAAUGUGUUUCUGAAGCGAUUCUGAACAUUAACAGUGGUGCGCAGGGGCAAAACAGGGCUUGCGUGUUACAAAGGGCUACAGGAGAAAUGUGCGGUGGGUCCUCUAGUGGAGUCUCCAUGCCGGUCCUAUUUAGGCUAAAGUGGAGAGACUGCACGAUCUGUGCUACCCUGGCUCCAGCGGCCCUAUGAAUCAGUGCAAGAGGCACAGAAGAACUGCAGAUACUAUACCAGCCUUGGCUGCAAGGCCUCCUCUGAAGCACUGUGUCAUGACCAGGAGGUAGAUGUUGCUUCCUGCAUGGCUUUAUGAUGCUGGAGUAAAUUUCAACAUUAAUUAUUUCAAUCUGAUUCCUUCAUAUUACCCAAGAUUCAAGAUGUUAAAAAAGAACAGCAGUGAAAUGUCACUGCCAUGGCUGCUCAGGUGAAGGGAAGAUCACAAAUCAUGUAUGGCAAGUCCCCCACACACACACCCAAAGUGAUUCCCGCCUCAUCACCGAAAGCACGUUCCGGAGCUGUUACUGGCUAUGAUAGAAGUAUACCUA